GACGGAACGCUGGCGGCGUGCCUAAGUACAUGCAAGUCGAGCGAGCGGAACCAACAGAUUUACGUUCGGUAAUGACGUUGGGAAAGCGAGCGGCGGAUGGGUGAGUAACACGUGGGGAACCUGCCCCUAAGUCUGGGAUACCAUUUAAGGAAACAGGUGCUAAUACCGGAUAAUAAAGCAGAUCGCAUGAUCAGCUUUUGAAAGGCGGCGUAAGCUGUCGCUAAGGGAUGGCCCCGCGGUGCAUUAGCUAGUUGGUAAGGUAACGGCUUACCAAGGCGACGAUGCAUAGCCGAGUUGAGAGACUGAUCGGCCACAUUGGGACUGGAGACACGGCCCAA
RNAcentral lists this ribosomal RNA (338 nucleotides) under uncultured bacterium. RNAcentral's name for it is "bacterial SSU rRNA". It matches the Rfam family "Bacterial small subunit ribosomal RNA", at positions 27 to 334 of the family's 1533-position model. The record is from RNAcentral.